RNAcentral lists this ribosomal RNA (774 nucleotides) under uncultured Neocallimastigales. RNAcentral describes it as "partial large subunit ribosomal RNA". It matches the Rfam family "Eukaryotic large subunit ribosomal RNA", at positions 24 to 620 of the family's 3401-position model. Lineage: Eukaryota; Fungi; Neocallimastigomycota; Neocallimastigomycetes; Neocallimastigales. The record is from RNAcentral.
GUAGUCUCGCACAGAUGCAUAUCAAUAAGCGGAGGAAAAGAAACUAACAAGGAUUCCCUCAGUAACGGCGAGUGAAGCGGGAAGAGCUCAAAUUUGAAAUCUUGAAAGGUCACCUUUCACGAAUUGUAGUUUAAAGAAGUGUUUUCUGUUACGAUCGUAAUAUAAGUUCUUUGGAAUAGGACAUCACAGAGGGUGAGGAUCCCGUCUAUGAUUGCGAUUUGUAGCUUUGUGAUACACUUUCAAAGAGUCGGGUUGUUUGGGAAUGCAGUCCAAAAUGGGUGGUAAAUUUCAUCUAAAGCUAAAUAUUGGCGAGAGACCGGUAGCGAACAAGUACCGUGAGGGAAAGAUGAAAAGAACUUUGAAAAGAGAGUUAAACAGUACGUGAAAUUGUCAAAAGGGAAGCGUUUGACACCAGUGUUGUUUUCUCGAAAAUCAAUUAAAAAGAGUUAGAUUUUGUUGUGUAUUGACCUUAACAGCUUGCAUUUCAAUUUUCUUGCUUUUUUUAAUGCACUUUUCGUUUAACAAGUCAACAUCAGUUUCUUUUGUUGUAAAAAGGUCAUUGGAAGGUGGCUUUCUUUUCGGAGAAAGUGCUUAUAGCCUUUGACUCCUGCAAUCGGAGAGACUGAGGUCUGCAGCGUAGAUCCUUCGGGGUUAGAUACAUUUGUGCUAAGUUAUAGCUUUUUAUAGACAACUUGUUGACUAUGAUUAGUCUUGUAGCUUACUCGCUUAUGCUAUUUUACCUACGCUUAGGAUGUUGAAGAUGUAGCACAUCAU